UAAUACUGCCUGGUAAUGAUGCA
RNAcentral lists this microRNA (23 nucleotides) under Danio rerio (zebrafish). Its description in RNAcentral is "Dre-Mir-8-P1b_3p (mature (guide))". The record is from RNAcentral. Lineage: Eukaryota; Metazoa; Chordata; Actinopteri; Cypriniformes; Danionidae.